GUCCAUUUGUUACCACCUUAAGGUUAAUAUUGUUAAGGUGUUUUGGUUUGCACUAGGAUGCAAAAAAGAAAAUCCCCUGCACUUCUGUCUGUCUUGUGGGCAAGCCCAGAUUGAAUUGGGAAUACAUCU
This 129-nucleotide small nucleolar RNA is filed under the name Papio anubis (olive baboon). RNAcentral describes it as "Small nucleolar RNA SNORA31 (ENSPANG00000044365.1)". It matches the Rfam family "Small nucleolar RNA SNORA31". Rfam says of the family: ACA31 (SNORA31) belongs to the H/ACA class of snoRNAs which are thought to guide the sites of modification of uridines to pseudouridines. ACA31 is predicted to guide the pseudouridylation of U3713 in 28S rRNA and U218 in 18S rRNA. This family includes the mouse homologue snoMBI-161. Lineage: Eukaryota; Metazoa; Chordata; Mammalia; Primates; Cercopithecidae. The record is from Rfam by way of RNAcentral.